GAGUUUGAUCGUGGCUCAGGUUGAACGCUGGCGGCAUGCCUUACACAUGCAAGUCGAACGGCAGCACGGGAGCUUGCUCCUGGUGGCGAGUGGCGAACGGGUGAGUAAUGCAUCGGAACGUAUCCUGGAGUGGGGGAUAACGUAGCGAAAGUUACGCUAAUACCGCAUAUUCUGUGAGCAGGAAAGCGGGGGACCUUCGGGCCUCGCGCUCUUGGAGCGGCCGAUGUCGGAUUAGCUAGUUGGUGAGGUAAAGGCUCACCAAGGCGACGAUCCGUAGCAGGUCUGAGAGGAUGAUCUGCCACACUGGAACUGAGACACGGUCCAGACUCCUACGGGAGGCAGCAGUGGGGAAUUUUGGACAAUGGGGGCAACCCUGAUCCAGCCAUGCCGCGUGAGUGAAGAAGGCCUCGG
RNAcentral lists this ribosomal RNA (411 nucleotides) under bacterium enrichment culture clone ALO1_GLFRUDD03HGCSJ. RNAcentral's name for it is "bacterial SSU rRNA". It matches the Rfam family "Bacterial small subunit ribosomal RNA", at positions 9 to 420 of the family's 1533-position model. The record is from RNAcentral.